Molecule: long non-coding RNA, 1194 nt
Organism: Chrysemys picta bellii (western painted turtle)
Lineage: Eukaryota; Metazoa; Chordata; Testudines; Emydidae
Source: RefSeq, a predicted model, not a curated record
GCCGGAGCAAGGUCAAAGAAGCAAGCAAUCCAACUCCUAUAGAGUUAGGACCUGAGAUCCUCAAUGACCCUCUACCAUGAAGUUCCUUUACCUUCUCUUUGUUGUUCUUGGUGCUCCAGAUUGCUUCAGCAUGCUAGCUAUAAAACACAUACGAAUCAUCAAGGAAUGUGAAAGGACUUUACAUAAAACAUCUCUCUUGCCUUCAAAAUGGACAUUUCUGCUGGAAGCUCAAACUGCUAAUGGAGAAAUUGUUACUUGGGGAAGGACACAGAGUCAUGUCAAGUUGGCCAAGGAACACACCACAGAGAGGCCAACGGAAAGGGGCCUGAAGAAGUAAGUUGCUGACCAGAGCUAAACCAGCAGGAGUUCGUUAUAUGUCCCAAGACAUUUUACACAAACCUCUGUGGCCUAAUGUGUCUUGCACAAUCUGGGAUGGCACAAGAUGUUUUGCACAAAGACCAUGAAGUUUUCCACGGACCGAGUUGCAAGAAUUCCAAUAUCCUAAUUAUGGUUGGACAUUUCAAAUCUUCUCCAGAAGCAGGGGUCACUUUCUGAUUGGCCCACAGCAGCUUUGCCAAGAAGAAAACAAGCCUUCAGAAACUGUAUAAAACAGGCUGUUCGGUUCAAAGCCUCACUCCCUGAAGCUCAUAAAUCUUGAUCAGAGAGACGGUGAGCAGGACUGUCAUCACCUGGCUACUGAGAGCAUCCCCUUUCUGGGACUUUGUCUCCUCUCUGUCCUGGAAUCUCUUCUCUUCAGUGACGCUGAGUUCACAGCCAAUCUUCAGCCAUGAAGAUCCUUUACCUGCUCUUUGCUGUUGUCUUCUUGGUGCUCCAGGGUGUCACAGAAUUCUCCCAGGCUCAGAGGUUCAGGUGGGUGUGUACACAGCUUGGAGAUACCUGCUUCCCUUGGAGAUGUCCCUCCAAUUUUGUGUACAUUGAAAGAUGCUAUCCACGGGGCGUUUGCUGUCGAAGGAGAUUUUCUGACUGACUGUCUAAUCAGGAUCUCAGGGAAUCAGGGAGACAGCCACUUGCUUCUAAAAUCAUCAGAUCCUGCUUCAAUGGAACGCUGAAGUGCUGCUUAUUUGGGCUGUAAAGAACCUUGUGAGCUGGAGAAAUUCCAUAAGGGAGCCCUGUACCAUCCCUAUAAGAUUUGUUACUCUCCUUUUAAUAAAAGCAAGCUGGUGUGAGAUCAUA